ACCAGGAUGGCCGAGUGGUUAAGGCGUUGGACUUAAGAUCCAAUGGACGUGUUGUCCGCGUGGGUUCGAACGCCACUCCUGGUA
This 84-nucleotide transfer RNA is filed under the name Orbicella faveolata. RNAcentral's name for it is "tRNA-Leu". It matches the Rfam family "tRNA". Rfam says of the family: Transfer RNA (tRNA) molecules are approximately 80 nucleotides in length. Their secondary structure includes four short double-helical elements and three loops (D, anti-codon, and T loops). The record is from RNAcentral. Lineage: Eukaryota; Metazoa; Cnidaria; Anthozoa; Scleractinia; Merulinidae.